RNAcentral lists this ribosomal RNA (497 nucleotides) under uncultured bacterium. RNAcentral's name for it is "partial 16S ribosomal RNA". It matches the Rfam family "Bacterial small subunit ribosomal RNA", at positions 28 to 507 of the family's 1533-position model. The record is from RNAcentral.
GACGAACGCUGGCGGCGUGCCUAAUACAUGCAAGUAGAACGCUGAAGCGAGGAGCUUGCUCUUCUUGGCUGAGUUGCGAACGGGUGAGUAACGCGUAGGUAACCUGCCUGGUAGCGGGGGAUAACUAUUGGAAACGAUAGCUAAUACCGCAUAAAAUGGAUUAUCGCAUGAUAAUCCAUUGAAAGGUGCAAAUGCAUCACUACCAGAUGGACCUGCGUUGUAUUAGCUAGUUGGUGGGGUAACGGCUCACCAAGGCGACGAUACAUAGCCGACCUGAGAGGGUGAUCGGCCACACUGGGACUGAGACACGGCCCAGACUCCUACGGGAGGCAGCAGUAGGGAAUCUUCGGCAAUGGACGGAAGUCUGACCGAGCAACGCCGCGUGAGUGAAGAAGGUUUUCGGAUCGUAAAGCUCUGUUGUAAGAGAAGAACGAGUGUGAGAGUGGAAAGUUCACACUGUGACGGUAUCUUACCAGAAAGGGACGGCUAACUACGUG